Pipra filicauda (Wire-tailed manakin) is the source of this 781-nucleotide long non-coding RNA. RefSeq lists it as uncharacterized. The transcript is spliced from 3 exons. Lineage: Eukaryota; Metazoa; Chordata; Aves; Passeriformes; Pipridae. The record is from RefSeq and is a predicted model, not a curated record.
CGUGUGGAAUGUGGCAGCUCCUCUUUGUCCUGAAGAGUUGUGUCUGAAUGGAGCAUCGUCAGGAUUUAAUUGCAGCCCAUUCUCAGUCCUGAACAUCCUCAAGAGCUCGUGGGCUGUUGAUGGAAAAGUGGAGGUCAUGGCCUAUGAGACUGCAAGUGGGACUCUUGACAGCCCAAGGAGGAGAUGGAGCCUGUCAGCAGUGAAAAGGGUUUUCUCUUCCAGCUGACAGGAGUCCAGGGAGAGCUGAGCUGGAUUAGGAUUGAUUUAGGAUGGACUCGUGCUGCACCAAUGGGAAUGGAACAGAUUUAGGUUGGAAUCAGACCUGGAAUUCUGGGGUCUAAAACCCACCCUUGAAUCUAGAAGCACCAAAUAUCCUUGGAGUCACAGCCAGUCAGGAAAAAGCUCCUUUUUUCUCAGUUUUCUGGCCUCAAAUACCUAUUACAGUUCUCCCAACAUCCUGACUUGAGCAAGUGGCUUCCACCUGCACACCAGGGAUUUUUGGAAUAUUGUCCAUAAAAUCACAGGAGAUUGGAAAAGACCCCUAAGGUUGAGCCCAACCAUUAACUCAGCCCAAGUUCACCACUAACCCACGUCCCCCAGUGCCACAUCCACCUGUUCUCUGACCUCCUCCAGGGAUGGUGAUUCCACUGCUCCAGUGCCUGACCAACCUUUCCAGGAAGAUGUUUUUCCUGAUAUCCAACCUAAACUUCCUCUGGAGUAACCUGAGAAACAGUUGGAAGAACAUUGGAUCAAGGCUCUCCAUGAAGACACGUGGAUAUAU